GAUGAAGAACGUAGCGAAAUGCGAUACGUAAUGUGAAUUGCAGAAUUCAGUGAAUCAUCGAAUCUUUGAACGCAUAUUGCGCUCUCUGGUAUUCCGGAGAGCAUGCUUGUUUGAGUAUCAGUAAACACCUCAACUCCCUUUUCUUUUUUGAAAUUGGAGCUGGACUUGAGUGAUCCCAACGCUUUCUUCCAAGAAAGUGGCGGGUUGCUUGAAAUGCAGGUGCAGCUGAACUUUUCUCUGAGCUAUAAGCAUAUCUAUUUAGUCUGCCUAAAAAACAGAUUAUUACCUUUGCUGCAGCUAACAUAAAGGUGACUAGUUCUUGUGCUGACUGAUGCAGGAUUCACAGAGACAGCUUCGGCUGACUUUGUAAACUCGAUCUCAAAUCAAGUAAGACUACCCGCUGAACUUAAGCAUAUCAAUAAGCGGAGGA
RNAcentral lists this unclassified non-coding RNA (430 nucleotides) under soil metagenome. RNAcentral describes it as "partial contains 5.8S ribosomal RNA, internal transcribed spacer 2, and large subunit ribosomal RNA". The stretch from base 1 to 120 matches the Rfam family "5.8S ribosomal RNA", at positions 35 to 154 of the family's 154-position model. The record is from RNAcentral.